This 477-nucleotide ribosomal RNA is filed under the name uncultured bacterium. RNAcentral's name for it is "bacterial SSU rRNA". It matches the Rfam family "Bacterial small subunit ribosomal RNA", at positions 1 to 525 of the family's 1533-position model. The record is from RNAcentral.
GGGCGAUGUUUGAUCCUGGCUCAGAGCGAACGCUGGCGGCAGGCUUAACACAUGCAAGUCGAGCGGGCGUAGCAAUACGUCAGCGGCAGACGGGUGAGUAACGCGUGGGAACGUACCUUUUGGUUCGGAACAACACAGGGAAACUUGUGCUAAUACCGAAUAAGCCCUUACGGGGAAAGAUUUAUCGCCGAAAGAUCGGCCCGCGUCUGAUUAGCUAGUUGGUGAGGUAACGGCUCACCAAGGCGACGAUCAGUAGCUGGUCUGAGAGGAUUAUCAGCCACAUUGGGACUGAGACACGGCCCAAACUCCUACGGGAGGCAGCAGUGGGGAAUAUUGGACAAUGGGGGCAACCCUGAUCCAGCCAUGCCGCGUGAGUGAUGAAGGCCCUAGGGUUGUAAAGCUCUUUUAACGGGGAAGAUAAUGACGGUACCCGCAGAAGAAGCCCCGGCUAACUUCGUGCCAGCAGCCGCGGUAAUA